AGACCCGAAACCCGGUGAUCUAGCCAUGGGCAGGUUGAAGGUUGGGUAACACUAACUGGAGGACCGAACCGACUAAUGUUGAAAAAUUAGCGGAUGACCUGUGGCUGGGGGUGAAAGGCCAAUCAAACCGGGAGAUAGCUGGUUCUCCCCGAAAGCUAUUUAGGUAGCGCCUCGUGAAUUCAUCUCCGGGGGUAGAGCACUGUUUCGGCUAGGGGGCCAUCCCGGCUUACCAACCCGAUGCAAACUGCGAAUACCGGAGAAUGUUAUCACGGGAGACACACGGCGGGUGCUAACGUCCGUCGUGAAGAGGGAAACAACCCAGACCGCCAGCUAAGGUCCCAAAGUCAUGGUUAAGUGGGAAACGAUGUGGGAAGGCCCAGACAGCCAGGAUGUUGGCUUAGAAGCAGCCAUCAUUUAAAGAAAGCGUAAUAGCUCACUGGUCGAGUCGGCCUGCGCGGAAGAUGUAACGGGGCUAAACCAUGCACCGAAGCUGCGGCAGCGAACGUAUCACCCAAGACAACUUUACGGAGUUGACGAUUGACGGAGCGAAGCGACGUCAAAGCGUUCAUUAAAGUCGAGUUGGCUUAGGGAUACGUUCGUUGGGUAGGGGAGCGUUCUGUAAGCCUGUGAAGGUGUGUCGUGAGGCAUGCUGGAGGUAUCAGAAGUGCGAAUGCUGACAUAAGUAACGAUAAAGCGGGUGAAAAGCCCGCUCGCCGGAAGACCAAGGGUUCCUGUCCAACGUUAAUCGGGGCAGGGUGAGUCGACCCCUAAGGCGAGGCCGAAAGGCGUAGUCGAUGGGAAACGGGUUAAUAUUCCCGUACUUGGUGUUACUGCGAAGGGGGGACGGAGAAGGCUAUGUUGGCCGGGCGACGGUUGUCCCGGUUUAAGCGUGUAGGUGUGUGUUCCAGGUAAAUCCGGUUCACUUUAACACUGAGGCGUGACGACGAGGCACUACGGUGCUGAAGCAACAAAUGCCCUGCUUCCAGGAAAAGCCUCUAAGCAUCAGGUAACACGAAAUCGUACCCCAAACCGACACAGGUGGUCAGGUAGAGAAUACCAAGGCGCUUGAGAGAACUCGGGUGAAGGAACUAGGCAAAAUGGUGCCGUAACUUCGGGAGAAGGCACGCUGACACGUAGGUGAAGUGAUUUACUCAUGGAGCUGAAGUCAGUCGAAGAUACCAGCUGGCUGCAACUGUUUAUUAAAAACACAGCACUGUGCAAACACGAAAGUGGACGUAUACGGUGUGACGCCUGCCCGGUGCCGGAAGGUUAAUUGAUGGGGUCAGCGUAAGCGAAGCUCCUGAUCGAAGCCCCGGUAAACGGCGGCCGUAACUAUAACGGUCCUAAGGUAGCGAAAUUCCUUGUCGGGUAAGUUCCGACCUGCACGAAUGGCGUAAUGAUGGCCAGGCUGUCUCCACCCGAGACUCAGUGAAAUUGAACUCGCUGUGAAGAUGCAGUGUACCCGCGGCAAGACGGAAAGACCCCGUGAACCUUUACUAUAGCUUGACACUGAACAUUGAGCCUUGAUGUGUAGGAUAGGUGGGAGGCUUUGAAGUGUGGACGCCAGUCUGCAUGGAGCCGACCUUGAAAUACCACCCUUUAAUGUUUGAUGUUCUAACGUGGACCCGUAAUCCGGGUUGCGGACAGUGUCUGGUGGGUAGUUUGACUGGGGCGGUCUCCUCCUAAAGAGUAACGGAGGAGCACGAAGGUUGGCUAAUCCUGGUCGGACAUCAGGAGGUUAGUGCAAUGGCAUAAGCCAGCUUGACUGCGAGCGUGACGGCGCGAGCA
This 1788-nucleotide ribosomal RNA is filed under the name Salmonella enterica. RNAcentral describes it as "partial 23S ribosomal RNA". It matches the Rfam family "Bacterial large subunit ribosomal RNA", at positions 711 to 2395 of the family's 2925-position model. Lineage: Bacteria; Pseudomonadati; Pseudomonadota; Gammaproteobacteria; Enterobacterales; Enterobacteriaceae. The record is from RNAcentral.